Molecule: ribosomal RNA, 341 nt
Filed under: uncultured Thermus sp.
Lineage: Bacteria; Thermotogati; Deinococcota; Deinococci; Thermales; Thermaceae
Description: bacterial SSU rRNA
Rfam family: Bacterial small subunit ribosomal RNA
Source: RNAcentral
GUGCAUGGUCGUCGUCAGCUCGUGCCGUGAGGUGUUGGGUUAAAGUCCCGCAACGAGCGCAACCCCGCCGUUAGUUGCCAGCGGUUCGGCCGGGCACUCUAACGGGACUGCCCGCGAAAGCGGGAGGAAGGAGGGGACGACGUCUGGUCAGCAUGGCCCUUACGGCCUGGGCGACACACGUGCUACAAUGCCCACUACAAAGCGAUGCCACCCGGCAACGGGGAGCUAAUCGCAAAAAGGUGGGCCCAGUUCGGAUUGGGGUCUGCAACCCGACCCCAUGAAGCCGGAAUCGCUAGUAAUCGCGGAUCAGCCAUGCCGCGGUGAAUACGUUCCCGGGCCUU